UUCCUUGCAUUAGCUUCUCAAUCUAUGAUGAUCAUAAAUAUAUUCUUAAAUGUUUCGUUCCAUCUUCCCCUUAAUACUUCUCUAGAGCUCUAUAUCUAAAUCUAAAUCCACCCAAAAUCAAACUCUACUCUGAAAAGCUACAUUCAUGGCCUAUGAAAUCCUCCGGAAAAUCUAUUAUAUACAGCUCUCAUGUCUUUAUCGAUGGCUUCUCCUUUUCUUCCAUGAUCUGCAUCCCUAAUUAUCGUCUUCGAGAAGAUAAGGCCUGCUAUUCUGAAUCCUUUAUUUUUCUUGUGCUGAAACUCCAGUAUUAUCAGGUUUGGGUUUAAAAAGACAGAAUUUGCAUGCUGGCAGACGGAUGCUGAUUCUAUCGGUGAUUUCAUUAUUAGUUUCAGGAUCUGCUAUUAUCGACCAACUAGGCAUUUUGUGACAAUUUUCAGGAUAACAAAGAUGCAUGUGGUGACAACAAUUUAAAUGGUAGUUUAGUAUGGGGUUCUAUUCAUCAUUCUUGGUUUCAGAUCAUGUUACUGUGUCGAGAAGAACCCAAAGUCCCAUAAGCAAAGCAAUAUAUAAGGGAAGGAGAAGGGAGAGACUGAUCCUCAACUAAUAAUUCCUAGAGGAACAUGUAUUAGUUAGCAUCUUAAGUGCAUGACAAAGGACUUGCAGAUCCAUCCAGAGCGAAUUGUUGCGAAUCAGAUAACAACUAAGAUUCUUAUUUCCAUGUUUGGUUCUCUCUUACACAUGUUGAGGGGAUAGCUAGAUGUGCAAGGAUAGGUGGCUUGGUGUUCACGCCUUCUUAGAAAGAUGGAAGACCAAGAAGGAAGUUGAGAGAUACCGUGACUGAGAGCUUACUAAUGAGACGCGACCAAUUUGGGUAAGGACUACUUGAUGCUCAAAAUGAAUUAAAGAGUAUAUUUGUAUUUGUUGCAGCUCUUGACCUCUAAGGAGGUGACAACAGAAGAGUACAAUGAGUUUUACAUAAAAGCUUUCAAUGAGUACUUGGACCCACAGGCAUUAACCCACUUCACAACAGUACGUUGGAGGGAAAACAUCUGUUGGAAUAGUAUAUAUACAUGAAACUACCCAUGCAGGUUAUGAUUUGUAUAUGUUAAAAAGUGGUGACACCAUGUUAAUCCACUAAUGAUGUACUGUUCUUGAAUUAUUACUGAUAAUUCUCUUAUUGUAGCGUGAGGUCGAGUUUAGAUCCAUCCUUUAUGUGCCACCAGUGUCACCAAUGGGGAAGCAUGACGUGGUCAAUUAAAAGACAAAGAACAUAAGGCUCUAUGGAAAACUAUUUUUCAAGAUAAUUUGACUGGAAGCUGGUGAGAGAAGUAUCCCUUGGUGUGGCCUUUCAAGAUAUAUAUGUUUUUCUAUUUCGUAUUGAUAUCCGCUUUUCUGGUGCUUUGUGAACAGUUUCCUCGCCAUUUGAUUUUUAUCAAGGGUGUUAUGGACCCACACGAUCUCCCAUU
This is a long non-coding RNA of Raphanus sativus (radish), 1466 nucleotides long. RefSeq lists it as uncharacterized. NCBI's taxonomy places the organism in Eukaryota, Viridiplantae, Streptophyta, Magnoliopsida, Brassicales, Brassicaceae. The transcript has 4 exons. The record is from RefSeq and is a predicted model, not a curated record.